UUGAUACCCUAUUAUUAAGAGUUUAAAUUAAUAUUCCUAUUAUUAUAAGUUAUGAUCUUUAAAUUGAAAGAGUUUGACGGUAAUUUUAAUCAUUUUAGAGGAACCUGUUCUUUAAUUGAUAAUCCACGAUAAAUUUUACCUCUAAAAAUUUUUGUUUGUAUACCUCUGUUUGAUGAAUGUUUUAUUAGAAUAUUUUCUUCAAUUUUUAAUUGAAAACUAUAUCAGGUCAAGGUGCAGUAUUUAGAGGGUUGAAAUGGGUUACAUUUAAUUUAUAUAUUAUUGAAUUAUAGAUGUUUAUUCACUAUAUGAAAUUGGAUUUAAUUGUAAUGUAUAUUAUA
RNAcentral lists this ribosomal RNA (338 nucleotides) under Carpocoris purpureipennis. RNAcentral describes it as "partial 12S ribosomal RNA". The record is from RNAcentral. Lineage: Eukaryota; Metazoa; Arthropoda; Insecta; Hemiptera; Pentatomidae.